CGUCCCUACCAAUAAAUGAUGCUAGUAGCAAGUCUCGUACGACCGGCUACCGACCGAUGAACCUUGAACCUGGCAACUCUGCUUCCGUCGGUGCUUGCUCUGCGCACGGGCGCGCGGUCCCGAAGUCCCGAUGUACGUCCAAUCGUAGAACCUUUAUUUGAUUUUUUUUUUCUGUUUAUAGGCGAGGUAUAUGGAGUGAUUCCAGCUAAUACGUACGUAGUACGUUUGCCCAACUUGCACGCAUGGGAGGUAAAUUAAUCCGGCCGAAAGCUUAGGCGCGUCCGCGCCCAUGUGAGGCAAGUUAAUCCAGCCAAAAUGUUCCAGCAAGUCUCAGCUCACCCAUGUCGUACGUACCAGCUGAUAUCCAACCAAUUAUUAUGGACAAAAAGUUCACACACG
This 399-nucleotide long non-coding RNA is filed under the name Brachypodium distachyon (stiff brome). Its description in RNAcentral is "long non-coding RNA (BDIS_LNC001724)". Lineage: Eukaryota; Viridiplantae; Streptophyta; Magnoliopsida; Poales; Poaceae. The record is from RNAcentral.